CACCCAGGGCUGCUUUUAUAAUUAGAAGCAGCAGGGCCACCGCUGAGGUCUGUGGGGAAGGUGGAUUUUGUUGCUAAAGCCGAACAAUAAACUAACCGUGGAAAAAAAAAAAAAAGAUCAAAAAAUGAAUGAAAAAAACCUUCAUGACAAAGGAACAGUUCAACGAGAAGCUGAAGAUCUGUUGCCCCGUAUAUUAUGUAUAUAAAACAUAAUUCGUAAACUGAGACGCCGCGAAACGUUUGUUGCUCUACGGGGUGAACAAUUUGUAUCUAUUUGUUCCCCUAACAAACUUCAGCCCUGACGACAGCUGUUUGCAAGGAAUCGUGGACCAUUUGGGUCUAAUUUAAGAGCCUGGACUCAGCUUUUUAUAACUUGCGCAGAUUUAACGCUCUCAUUUUGACACUUGACAUGCAUCUCUACCGCAAAACAAAAAGGCGGCACGGAUAAAUGUAACCUCAUCAGGGCUCACUGACGGCUGCGACGGAGGGAAUCAUUAUAGAUUCUGCACGACUCGGGACGGCCGACACAUCGGAGGAAAGCGGGGCGCCGGGUCACGACACCUUCAUCGUCACCACCGCUGCAACCGCUUCCCUUUCAUUUGGGCGCUAAUCGGUGCAUUAACGUAGGCCGUGAACGUUGGGGGUUGACGCAUCACGGACGAACGAAGCCCCGCCAUCCAUUAUCCCACUUCUUUAUCAAACAGAAAAACACACAAAUGCCCGAAGUACAAUUAUUUUCACUAAUCAAGGCUGCAGUAAGACGGCCAACCGCAAACACCAUCAAUACACAUCUCUCCGCACAAAGCUGGGCAUCCAAGCUGAAUGACACACAGAUAAAUCAGAGCUCCUCAGUACGUUCAAACAAUAUUAAGGCAGCCAUUAGUCUAUUAAUGGGCAAUCGGCACAACUCUCGGGCACAAGAUUAAUUGCGCCCGGUGUAAGUCAUGCUCCUCCGUAUGAUUUCUUUCUUGGCAACAGAUGUGUUUUCCUUCAAAAAAUAAACGAAUCGCUGUGUCUUUCAUUCAAGGCCAUAUCAGCAGAAAGUGGCUGAAGGUAAAGUGUUUUUUCUCAUCUCAUACAUCCUCUCAAAGGACAUUUUGUCCAUUGUACAGAAGCUUUUACUCUGCACAGACAGAAUAUUUAUGUUAAUGCUUAAUUGAUUAUAUUUGUACACGCUUAUCACUUGGAAAAAGGUCGUACCGUGUUUUUUUAUACCCAAAAACUUCCUGUUUAGUUAAUAGAGUAAAAAUGGAACUUUGCAUUUAGGGCCAUUGGAGCGUGAAAUGUGUUGUGUGGCUAUUAAAUUUGCUUAGCAGGAGCUUUUUGAGCAAAGUGCUCUGCACAGCUUGCAGGUGUAUAGAUUUAUUUUAUUUUUGUGCUAAAGGAACUGACUGCUGUACACUACGCGAAGGGAUGCAGCGUGGGACGUGAACCGGCAACCUCCCGGUUCCACAGCCACGCACUUGCAUGCUGGGUCACCCGUUCUCCACCGACAAUGAAUGGAAAUACAAGACACACUUCACUGUGGACAUUUAAAGAUUCCCAGUUCAAAUGCCCAGUUUCUCUAUAAAACCCCCUAGACUUCAGUAUUAAAACAGAUUUUUUAAAAAAAACAGGUUAAUAAAAGGUGCUGCUGAUAAUAGCUGUGUCAAAAUUGUACAACCUGUUGAAGAACAUUAAAACACUCAUGCGACACAA
Scleropages formosus (Asian bonytongue) is the source of this 1697-nucleotide long non-coding RNA. RefSeq lists it as uncharacterized. The record is from RefSeq and is a predicted model, not a curated record. Lineage: Eukaryota; Metazoa; Chordata; Actinopteri; Osteoglossiformes; Osteoglossidae. The transcript has 3 exons.